UUCAUAACAACACUCCCCUUGAUCUAAUCAAUCAACCAUAAAAGAUAACUAUGAAAGAAAUCAUUAAUUCAAUAAGAAAAUUAACAUUAAUAACAAAAAAAAAAACAUACUAUCAUAAUAACCAAUAUCAAUCAUCUAACUUAAGUACUUGCCCACCAAUAAACCAUAAACUAGCAAAAAGCUAAGUAUUAUUAACAACAACAAAAAAAAAAAGGCAAGUACACCCAACAUUCUCC
This 236-nucleotide long non-coding RNA is filed under the name Gossypium raimondii (Peruvian cotton). RNAcentral's name for it is "long non-coding RNA (GRAI_LNC010877)". The record is from RNAcentral. Lineage: Eukaryota; Viridiplantae; Streptophyta; Magnoliopsida; Malvales; Malvaceae.